Molecule: ribosomal RNA, 496 nt
Filed under: uncultured bacterium
Lineage: Bacteria
Description: partial 16S ribosomal RNA
Rfam family: Bacterial small subunit ribosomal RNA
Source: RNAcentral
AUGAACGCUGGCGGCGUGCCUAAUACAUGCAAGUCGAGCGAACAGACGAGGAGCUUGCUCCUCUGACGUUAGCGGCGGACGGGUGAGUAACACGUGGAUAACCUACCUAUAAGACUGGGAUAACUUCGGGAAACCGGAGCUAAUACCGGAUAAUGUAUUGAACCGCAUGGUUCAAUAGUGAAAGACGGUUUUGCUGUCACUUAUAGAUGGAUCCGCGCCGCAUUAGCUAGUUGGUAAGGUAACGGCUUACCAAGGCGACGAUGCGUAGCCGACCUGAGAGGGUGAUCGGCCACACUGGAACUGAGACACGGUCCAGACUCCUACGGGAGGCAGCAGUAGGGAAUCUUCCGCAAUGGGCGAAAGCCUGACGGAGCAACGCCGCGUGAGUGAUGAAGGUCUUCGGAUCGUAAAACUCUGUUAUUAGGGAAGAACAAAUGUGUAAGUAACUAUGCACGUCUUGACGGUACCUAAUCAGAAAGCCACGGCUAACUACGUG